AACCCAUGGUGUGGGUACUGGUUGGUGUAGCUCCUGAAUCUCUUAUAUGCUUCACCAAAACUCUCAUUGCUAUGUUGGGUGAAGCUGGAGAUUUAGUUUAUUAGCUU
This 107-nucleotide small nucleolar RNA is filed under the name Eutrema salsugineum. RNAcentral describes it as "Plant small nucleolar RNA R71". It matches the Rfam family "Plant small nucleolar RNA R71". From Rfam's summary of the family: R71 is a member of the C/D box family of snoRNAs containing the C (UGAUGA) and D (CUGA) box motifs. Multiple nearly identical copies of this snoRNA have been identified in Arabidopsis, and it is thought to function as a 2'-O-ribose methylation guide for 18S ribosomal RNA. The record is from Rfam by way of RNAcentral. Lineage: Eukaryota; Viridiplantae; Streptophyta; Magnoliopsida; Brassicales; Brassicaceae.